CCUACGGGCUGCACCAGUGGGGAAUUUUCCGCAAUGGGCGAAAGCCUGACGGAGCAAUGCCGCGUGUGUGAAGAAGGUCUUCGGAUUGUAAAGCACUUUCGACGGGGGCGAUGAUGACGGUACCCGUAGAAGAAGCCCCGGCUAACUUCGUGCCAGCAGCCGCGGUAAUACGAAGGGGGCUAGCGUUGCUCGGAAUGACUGGGCGUAAAGGGCGCGUAGGCGGUUUAUGCAGUCAGAUGUGAAAUCCCCGGGCUUAACCUGGGAACUGCAUUUGAGACGCAUAGACUAGAGGUCGAGAGAGGGUUGUGGAAUUCCCAGUGUGGAGGUGAAAUUCGUAGAUAUUGGGAAGAACACCGGUGGCAAAGGCGGCAACCUGGCUCGAUACUGACGCCGAGGCGCGAAAGCGUGGGGAGCAAACAGGAUUAGAUACCCGCGUAGUC
Molecule: ribosomal RNA, 440 nt
Filed under: uncultured bacterium
Lineage: Bacteria
Description: bacterial SSU rRNA
Rfam family: Bacterial small subunit ribosomal RNA
Source: RNAcentral